UUGGCGGGGUAACGGCCCACCAAGGCGACGAUGACUAGGGGAUCUGAGAGGAUGGCCCCCCACACUGGUACUGAGACACGGACCAGACUCCUACGGGAGGCAGCAGUAAGGAAUAUUGGUCAAUGGAGGGAACUCUGAACCAGCCAUGCCGCGUGCAGGACGACGGCCCUCUGGGUUGUAAACUGCUUUUAUUCGGGAAUAAACCUACUUACGUGUAAGUAGCUGAAUGUACCGAAGGAAUAAGGAUCGGCUAACUCCGUGCCAGCAGCCGCGGUAAUACGGAGGAUCCAAGCGUUAUCCGGAUUUAUUGGGUUUAAAGGGUGCGUAGGCGGCUUAUUAAGUCAGGGGUGAAAGACGGUGGCUCAACCAUCGCAGUGCCUUUGAUACUGAUGAGCUUGAAUGGACUAGAGGUAGGCGGAAUGUGACAAGUAGCGGUGAAAUGCAUAGAUAUGUCACAGAACACCGAUUGCGAAGGCAGCUUACUAUGGUUUAAUUGACGCUGAGGCACGAAAGCGUGGGGAUCAAACAGGAUUAGAUACCCUGGUAGUCCACGCCCUAAACGAUGAAUACUCGCUGUUAGCGAUAUACAGUUAGCGGCUAAGCGAAAGCGUUAAGUAUUCCACCUGGGGAGUACGC
This 636-nucleotide ribosomal RNA is filed under the name Pedobacter sp. ahT23. RNAcentral's name for it is "bacterial SSU rRNA". It matches the Rfam family "Bacterial small subunit ribosomal RNA", at positions 249 to 885 of the family's 1533-position model. Lineage: Bacteria; Pseudomonadati; Bacteroidota; Sphingobacteriia; Sphingobacteriales; Sphingobacteriaceae. The record is from RNAcentral.